GUAACCUGCCUCAAAGUGGGGGAUAGCCUUCCGAAAGGAAGAUUAAUACCGCAUAAAGCCAAGUUUCACAUGGAAUUUGGAUGAAAGGAGUAAUUCGCUUUGAGAUGGACCCGCGGCGCAUUAGUUAGUUGGUGGGGUAAUGGCCUACCAAGACAGCGAUGCGUAGCCGACCUGAGAGGGUGAUCGGCCACAUUGGAACUGAGAUACGGUCCAGACUCCUACGGGAGGCAGCAGUGGGGAAUAUUGCACAAUGGGCGAAAGCCUGAUGCAGCAACGCCGCGUGAGUGAUGAAGGUCUUCGGAUUGUAAAGCUCUGUCUUUUGGGACGAUAAUGACGGUACCAAAGGAGGAAGCCACGGCUAACUACGUGCCAGCAGCCGCGGUAAUACGUAGGUGGCGAGCGUUGUCCGGAUUUACUGGGCGUAAAGGGUGCGUAGGCGGAUGUUUAAGUGAGAUGUGAAAUACCCGGGCUUAACUUGGGUGCUGCAUUUCAAACUGGAUAUCUAGAGUGCAGGAGAGGAGAAUGGAAUUCCUAGUGUAGCGGUGAAAUGCGUAGAGAUUAGGAAGAACACCAGUGGCGAAGGCGAUUCUCUGGACUGUAACUGACGCUGAGGCACGAAAGCGUGGGUAGCAAACAGGAUUAGAUACCCUGGUAGUCCACGCCGUAAACGAUGAGUACUAGGUGUAGGAGGUAUCGACCCCUUCUGUGCCGCAGUAAACACAUUAAGUACUCCGCCUGGGAAGUACGAUCGCAAGAUUAAAACUCAA
This 767-nucleotide ribosomal RNA is filed under the name uncultured bacterium. RNAcentral's name for it is "bacterial SSU rRNA". It matches the Rfam family "Bacterial small subunit ribosomal RNA", at positions 121 to 904 of the family's 1533-position model. The record is from RNAcentral.